GUGCGUAAUAGCUCACUAGUCGAGUGACACUGCGCCGAAAAUGUACCGGGGCUAAACAUAUUACCGAAGCUGUGGAUUGUCCUUUGGACAAUGGUAGGAGAGCGUUCUAAGGGCGUUGAAGCAUGAUCGUAAGGACAUGUGGAGCGCUUAGAAGUGAGAAUGCCGGUGUGAGUAGCGAAAGACGGGUGAGAAUCCCGUCCACCGAUUGACUAAGGUUUCCAGAGGAAGGCUCGUCCGCUCUGGGUUAGUCGGGUCCUAAGCUGAGGCCGACAGGCGUAGGCGAUGGAUAACAGGUUGAUAUUCCUGUACCACCUAUAAUCGUUUUAAUCGAUGGGGGGACGCAGUAGGAUAGGCGAAGCGUGCGAUUGGAUUGCACGUCUAAGCAGUAAGGCUGAGUAUUAGGCAAAUCCGGUACUCGUUAAGGCUAAGCUGUGAUGGGGAGAAGACAUUGUGUCUUCGAGUCGUUGAUUUCACACUGCCGAGAAAAGCCUCUAGAUAGAAAAUAGGUGCCCGUACCGCAAACCGACACAGGUAGUCAAGAUGAGAAUUCUAAGGUGAGCGAGCGAACUCUCGUUAAGGAACUCGGCAAAAUGACCCCGUAACUUCGGGAGAAGGGGUGCUCUUUAGGGUUAAC
This 634-nucleotide ribosomal RNA is filed under the name Staphylococcus aureus. RNAcentral's name for it is "bacterial LSU rRNA". It matches the Rfam family "Bacterial large subunit ribosomal RNA", at positions 1130 to 1765 of the family's 2925-position model. Lineage: Bacteria; Bacillati; Bacillota; Bacilli; Caryophanales; Staphylococcaceae. The record is from RNAcentral.